AUACGUAGGAUCUGAGCAUUAUCCGGAGUGACUGGGCGUAAAGAGUUGCGUAGGGGGAUGUUUAAGUCGAUGGUGAAAUCUGGAGGCUCAACCAUUCAGACUGUUAUCUAAACUGGACAUCUCGAGAGCGUCAGGGGUGACUGGAAUUUCUAGUGUAGGAGUGAAAUCCGUAGAUAUUAGAAGGAACACCGAGAGCGUAGGGAGGUCACUAGGGCGUUUCUGACACUAGGGCACGAAAGGGUAGGGAGAAAAGGGGAUUAGAUCCCCCGGUAGUCUACGCCGUAAACGAUGGAUGCUAGCUUUGGGGGGUAUCGACCCCUUCCGUAGCGAAGCUAACGCGUUAAGCAUCCCGCCUGUGUAGUACGAUCGCAAGAUUAAAACUUAAAGGAAUUGACGGGG
Molecule: ribosomal RNA, 399 nt
Filed under: uncultured bacterium
Lineage: Bacteria
Description: partial 16S ribosomal RNA
Rfam family: Bacterial small subunit ribosomal RNA
Source: RNAcentral